RNAcentral lists this transfer RNA (77 nucleotides) under compost metagenome. Its description in RNAcentral is "tRNA-Pro". It matches the Rfam family "tRNA". Rfam says of the family: Transfer RNA (tRNA) molecules are approximately 80 nucleotides in length. Their secondary structure includes four short double-helical elements and three loops (D, anti-codon, and T loops). The record is from RNAcentral.
CUCCAUGUAGCUCAGUUCGGUAGAGCGCGUCGUUUGGGACGAUGAGGUCGCGGGUUCGAUGCCUGCCAUGGUGACCA